Molecule: unclassified non-coding RNA, 1363 nt
Filed under: uncultured Neocallimastigales
Lineage: Eukaryota; Fungi; Neocallimastigomycota; Neocallimastigomycetes; Neocallimastigales
Description: partial contains internal transcribed spacer 1, 5.8S ribosomal RNA, internal transcribed spacer 2, and large subunit ribosomal RNA
Rfam family: Eukaryotic large subunit ribosomal RNA (bases 589-1363)
Source: RNAcentral
UAAAUAAUCCUACCUUUGUGAAUUUUGUUUGUUUGAAUAAUUUUUUUUUUUAAAAAAUUAUUGGAGUCUUUCCCUUUAGAGUUGCUUUUGAGUUUGUAAAAGAAUUCGAAAACAUCUAAAGGGGAUGGUCAAUAAUUUUUUUUGAAAAAGACAUUUUUAAAAUUAAACUUUUGUAUUCAUUUGUCUAAAAAUUAUUUUUAUAAUAUAAAAACAACUUUUGACAAUGGAUCUCUUGGUUCUCGCAACGAUGAAGAACGCAGCAAAAUGCGAUAAGUAGUGUGAAUUGCAGAAUACGUGAAUCAUCGAAUCUUUGAACGCAUAUUGCACUUUUUAGUUUACUAAAAAAGUAUGUCUGUUUGAGUAUCAGUAAAAUAUUCUCAUAAAAAUCAUUGUAUUUUUAUGGUUAUGAGUGUUUUACAACGAUACAAGUUGUUUCACUUUAAAUUUUUUUUUAAUAUUGAAAUUUUUCUAAUUUUAAUAAUUAAAAUUGGAUAAAAUUUUCCCGUCAAAGGAAUAACCUAAACAAUUUUUAAACGAUUAAUUUUAGCAAAAUUUUCGUAAAAAAGGAAAAUUUUUAUUAAAAUAACUUGAUCUCAAAUCAGAUAAGAGUACCCGCUGAACUUAAGCAUAUCAAUAAGCGGAGGAAAAGAAACUAACAAGGAUUCCCUUAGUAACGGCGAGUGAAGCGGGAAGAGCUCAAAUUUGAAAUCUUCAAGGUUUUACCUUGACGAAUUGUAGUUUAAAGAAGUGUUUUCUGCUGAAGUUUUGGUAAAAGUUCUUUGGAAUAGGACAUCAUAGAGGGUGAGAAUCCCGUAUUUGACCAUUAUUUUCAGCUUUGUGAUACACUUUCAAAGAGUCGGAUCGUUUGGGAAUGCAGUCCAAAAUGGGUGGUAAAUUUCAUCUAAAGCUAAAUAUUGGCGAGAGACCGAUAGCGAACAAGUACCGUGAGGGAAAGAUGAAAAGAACUUUGAAAAGAGAGUUAAACAGUACGUGAAAUUGUCAAAAGGGAAGCGUUUGACACCAGUGUUGUUUUCUCGAAAAUCAAUUAAAAAUGGCUCGAUUUUGUAUUGCUGAGACCUUAAAAGCUCACUGUACAUUUUUCGUGUCUUUUUUAAUGCACUUUUCGUUUAACAAGUCAACAUCAGUUUCUUUUGUUGUAAAAGGGUCAUUGGAAGGUGGCUUUCUUUUCGGAGAAAGUGUUUAUGGCCUUUGGCCUCUGCAAUCGGAGAGACUGAGGUCUGCAGCGUAGACUCUUCGGGGUUAGAUACAUUUGUGCUAAGUUAUAGCUUUUUAUAGACAACUUGUUGACUAUAAUUAGUCUUGUAGCUUACUCGCUUAUGCUAUUUUACCUACGCUUAGGAUG